Molecule: ribosomal RNA, 512 nt
Filed under: uncultured bacterium
Lineage: Bacteria
Description: bacterial SSU rRNA
Rfam family: Bacterial small subunit ribosomal RNA
Source: RNAcentral
UCAGGAUGAACGCUGGCGGCGUGCAUAACACAUCAAGUCGAACGGGCAGUUGAUGGAACCGAGGGGCAAGGAGGCUUGCUUCUGGGUUCUGUCUUCUGCCAGUGGCGGACGGGUGAGUAACGCGUGAGCAACCUGCCUUUCAGAGGGGGAUAACACAUGGAAACGUGUGCUAAUACCGCAUGACGCACGAGGACUGCAUGGUUCUUGUGUCAAAGGAGCAAUCCGCUGAGAGAUGGGCUCGCGUCCGAUUAGGCAGUUGGUGAGGUAACGGCUCACCAAACCGACGAUCGGUAGCCGGACUGAGAGGUUGAACGGCCACAUUGGAACUGAGAAACGGUCCAGACUCCUACGGGAGGCAGCAGUGGGGAAUAUUGGGCAAUGGGGGGAAACCCUGACCCAGCGACGUCGCGUGAGGGAAGAAGGUCUUCGGAUUGUAAACCUUUGUCAACAGGGAAGAAGCAAGUGACGGUACCUGAAGAGGAAGCCACGGCUAACUACGUGCCAGCCGCCGC